RNAcentral lists this long non-coding RNA (221 nucleotides) under Bos taurus (domestic cattle). Its description in RNAcentral is "long non-coding RNA NONBTAT025528". Lineage: Eukaryota; Metazoa; Chordata; Mammalia; Artiodactyla; Bovidae. The record is from RNAcentral.
ACUCACUUCAGGAAAAGCCAGUUGCCAUGAAGACACUCAAAGAGAUCUAUAGAGAGGACCAUGUGGUAGGAAACUGAGAUCUCCUCCUUCUGAAUUAAUAGCCAUUAUGUCAAGAACAUAGCAACAUUUCUAGGCUGUAUUUGGAGUACAGAGCUGGAAAAUGUAUAUCAUACUGACAUCAUCAUCAUUCUUACAAAAUAAUAUUAAAAAUAAACUAUUUG